GACGAACGCUGGCGGCGUGCCUAAUACAUGCAAGUCGAACGCUUCUUUUUCCACCGGAGCUUGCUCCACCGGAAAAAGAGGAGUGGCGAACGGGUGAGUAACACGUGGGUAACCUGCCCAUCAGAGGGGGAUAACAUUCGGAAACGGAUGCUAAUACCGCAUAGUUUCAGGAAUCGCAUGAUUCUUGAAGGAAAGGUGGCUUCGGCUACCACUAAUGGAUGGACCCGCGGCGUAUUAGCUAGUUGGUGAGGUAAUGGCUCACCAAGGCAAUGAUACGUAGCCGACCUGAGAGGGUGAUCGGCCACACUGGGACUGAGACACGGCCCAGACUCCUACGGGAGGCAGCAGUAGGGAAUCUUCCGCAAUGGACGAAAGUCUGACGGAGCAACGCCGCGUGAGUGAAGAAGGUUUUCGGAUCGUAAAACUCUGUUGUUAAAGAAGAACAAGGAUGAGAGUAACUGCUCAUCCCCUGACGGUAUCUAACCAGAAAGCCACGGCUAACUACGUGCCAGCAGCCGCAGUAAAAC
This 527-nucleotide ribosomal RNA is filed under the name uncultured bacterium. Its description in RNAcentral is "bacterial SSU rRNA". It matches the Rfam family "Bacterial small subunit ribosomal RNA", at positions 28 to 526 of the family's 1533-position model. The record is from RNAcentral.